RNAcentral lists this ribosomal RNA (1012 nucleotides) under marine metagenome. Its description in RNAcentral is "bacterial SSU rRNA". It matches the Rfam family "Bacterial small subunit ribosomal RNA", at positions 506 to 1520 of the family's 1533-position model. The record is from RNAcentral.
UGCCAGCAGCCGCGGUAAUACAUAGGGUGCAAGCGUUGUCCGGAAUUAUUGGGCGUAAAGAGCUCGUAGGUCGUUUGUCGCGUCGAUUGUGAAAAUCUGAGGCUCAACCUCAGACCUGCAGUCGAUACGGGCAAACUAGAGUGUGGUAGGGGAGACUGGAAUUCCUGGUGUAGCGGUGGAAUGCGCAGAUAUCAGGAGGAACACCAAUGGCGAAGGCAGGUCUCUGGGCCAUAACUGACACUGAGGAGCGAAAGUGCGGGGAGCGAACAGGAUUAGAUACCCUGGUAGUCCGCACCGUAAACGGUGGGCACUAGUUGUGGGAACCUUCCACGGUUUCCGCGACGCAGCAAACGCAUUAAGUGCCCCGCCUGGGGAGUACGAUCGCAAGAUUAAAACUCAAAGGAAUUGACGGGGCCCCGCACAAGCAGCGGAGCAUGCGGCUUAAUUCGACGCAACGCGAAGAACCUUACCAAGGCUUGACAUAUAGCGAAAAGUGGCAGAGAUGUCAUGUCCGCAAGGGCGCUAUACAGGUGGUGCAUGGUUGUCGUCAGCUCGUGUCGUGAGAUGUUGGGUUAAGUCCCGCAACGAGCGCAACCCUCGUUCUGUGUUACCAGCAUUUAGUUGGGGACUCACAGGAGACUGCCGGGGUCAACUCGGAGGAAGGUGGGGAUGACGUCAAAUCAUCAUGCCCCUUAUGUCUUGGGCUGCACGCAUGCUACAAUGGCCGGUACAAAGUGCUGCGAGAUCGUAAGAUUGAGCGAAUCACAUAAAGCCGGUCUCAGUUCGGAUUGAGGUCUGCAACUCGACCUCAUGAAGUCGGAGUUGCUAGUAAUCGUAGAUCAGCAACGCUACGGUGAAUACGUUCCCGGGGCUUGUACACACCGCCCGUCACGUCACGAAAGUCGGUAACACCCAAAGUUAGUGGCCCAACCGCAAGGGGGGAGCUACCUAAGGUGGGAUCGGUGAUUGGGACGAAGUCGUAACAAGGUAGCCGUACCGGAAGGUGCGGCUG